Molecule: non-coding RNA, 85 nt
Organism: Felis catus (domestic cat)
Lineage: Eukaryota; Metazoa; Chordata; Mammalia; Carnivora; Felidae
Source: Rfam
GCCUGGGUGGCUUAGUCGGCUAAGCGUCCGACUUCGGCUCAGGUCACGAUCUCACAGUUUGUGGGUUCGAGCCCUGCGUCAGGCU